GGAUGAAGAAAUGAACAGACAGAUGGAGAAGCAGACAGGCUGCCAGACUGAAAAUUGCUCUAUUUUGUGCGGCUGCAAUCAACGCCCUUGUGGAUGACCCCAGGUGCCUAAUUCAAAAAUGCAUGCAGGGUUGUCACCGGCUGUACCGAGACUUGGAUCACACAGUUUGUCCUGGCAGAUAACCCUGACGCCAACCCCCAGCCCUGCUUUAUCCAUUCCUUUGCCUUGUCCUUCCCCCAGAACAUCAGGAAUCUCAAACACUGAACCCUUCACAGGUUCACACAAAACUGUUGGUUCCAUGUGUCAAGAUGAAUUGGCAGCACACAGAAAGAGGUGGAAUCUGACUGGUAAGAAAAGUUGUUUUGAGGUCAUUUGACAAUUUGAAAUAAUAAUGAUAAUUGUGCCCUGUGAUGGACUGGCGACCAGGGUCCUUUCGCCCAAUGUCAGCUGGGAUUGGCUCCAGCCCCCCGCGACCCUGUACGCAGGAUAAGCGGUUGACGAUGUAUGGAUGGAUGGAUGAAUGAUAACUGUUUUCCUAAUCCCAACAGUUUGAAGUAAAUUCCUCAUGCCGAGGUUUGUUAGGAAAGUUUUUGUUAAGAACUUUUGUUGGCUUAUGCUGUUGGCAAAUUAAACAUACAAAUAACUCUAUCUAUUAUAACUAUUUCAGUUUUUACAUGGUCAGAAUAGUUCUGGUUAUUACUCUGAUUGUGUUUUAGGGUAAUUAUUGACCUAAACUCAAUAAUCCAUGAAUUUGGGUUGAUCUCAUUAACCUGAUGUUAUUCUCUCUGUAAGCUGGACUCCAGCCUAUUAAACAGCCUACUUCUGAAUAUUGAAUAAUGAAUGAUGGAAAACACAGAUGACCUAAAGGUUAGAGGUAAUGUUGAUAUCGACUUCCACUUCAAUGAUUAACUCUCAUCAGAUUCUGCUACAAUUUAUUUCAUUUCAACUUUAUUAACUACCCUUAGGCUUUUCAUAAAUUAAUUUCUGUACUCAUAUAAGACAAAAUAAAUAAUAUGUCCGCUCAAAAUGAAGACUUCCAUACCCCUUUAUUGAUGACAUUCAAGCAUCACGUCUCAGAUGAUUUAGAGAGAGAGGAGUAUGCUGGACAAACACCAGUGAAGCAUUGUGUGUGGCAACAAAAGUGACCUCUAGCUCAGCUUGGUCGUUAAUGCAGCUGGAGUAAAACAACAGCCAGCUUUACUUGGAGGGGAGCAGGGCCUUGGUCUGGUCCACCACCUGCUGGAAGAUCUUCUCCAUCAUGUCGGUCAGAGGCUUGACCUGAGUGUUGAAGUUGUCAGUCAGAGGCUUGAUCUGUUCCUCAAUGUUGGCGAUGAGGGGCUGGACCUGCUCCUGCAGCUUGGCAGCCUCGGCCUGGACCUUCUUAACAAGAGGCUGGAUCUGGGCCUUGCUGUCCUCAAUGUAAGUCCUGUGGAAGGUAGAUGAAGCGACAUACUGCUGUUAAUCACUGCUGCUAACUCUGACUUGUAUUUUAAUAAAGAAAAAUUUACUAAAACUGCUUGACAAUUGACUUUUAAGGAGAAUUUUGACUAGUUGCUACUACACCAAGCCAUUCAGGGUGUAUACUGUAUGCUGUGUGUAUGUCUAGGUCACAAUAAUGUGAAUUUAACCUAAAAGAAACCAAACUAACCAUUUACUAUCCCAAGAGGUGGUUAGCCUUUGGCCUUUUUAGCCACUUUAUGUAUAAUUUUGUCAUCAUAAAUAUGACUUUUUCAUCUUGA
Long non-coding RNA from Micropterus dolomieu (smallmouth bass), 1739 nucleotides. RefSeq lists it as uncharacterized. The transcript is spliced from 4 exons. The record is from RefSeq and is a predicted model, not a curated record. NCBI's taxonomy places the organism in Eukaryota, Metazoa, Chordata, Actinopteri, Centrarchiformes, Centrarchidae.